UUUAUCGGAGAGUUUGAUCCUGGCUCAGGACGAACGCUGGCGGCGUGCCUAAUACAUGCAAGUCGAGCGGACAGAUGGGAGC
This 82-nucleotide ribosomal RNA is filed under the name Bacillus subtilis. RNAcentral's name for it is "partial 16S ribosomal RNA". It matches the Rfam family "Bacterial small subunit ribosomal RNA", at positions 1 to 81 of the family's 1533-position model. The record is from RNAcentral. Lineage: Bacteria; Bacillati; Bacillota; Bacilli; Caryophanales; Bacillaceae. RNAcentral also lists the same sequence under 1 other name.